Long non-coding RNA from Corvus hawaiiensis (hawaiian crow), 1377 nucleotides. RefSeq lists it as uncharacterized. Lineage: Eukaryota; Metazoa; Chordata; Aves; Passeriformes; Corvidae. The record is from RefSeq and is a predicted model, not a curated record. The transcript is spliced from 3 exons.
UGAGCCCACAAAUGGCCACUGGAAUGCCAAGAUGACACUGGAAGGAGGUGGCAAAGGAGUGGCAGCAGUACGACCAGUCUGGCUCAAUUUUUCAACAGUGUGGGGACUGAUGCUCCUCCAGCCAUUCACUGCCCAGGCAGCUGCUCCAGUGGGCAGUUGAGAGAUGUCAGAACUGACCUGUCAGCCAGUUGGAUCCUGUCAGGGCUGCAAGGCAGACAACCAGGCCUUGGCCUGAGAUUAAGCUGAAUAAACAGGAUGUGAAAAGCUACUGGACAUAAGAAAACUGCUGGAUGUGACAGAUAAUGCAAGAAGCUGCAGAGUGGUUGUACAGAUCAUCAGGGCAGAGUUACACAAAAAACAGACGAGUUCCAUGGAAAGGUGGAAUACAGGGCAGACUUCAGAGGCGGACAUCUUGCAAGGUACUAAGCAGACACAUCUGCGGAAGUGAAAGCAUUACAGACCUACCAAGAGUUUCAAAUUUCUGCUGAGAAGGACUGAGGUUUUCAACUCACAGUCAUUGGGAAAAAACCUGCACUCACCCACUCACCCCUCCUGAAAGUGUCAGCUCACUUGCUGGCCCAUGCAGCUGAAAUGGGGAUUCGUUCCUGGAGUUCUGGGGUGAACCACUCUUGGGGCUCAGGGCAGAGGAUGUGUUGGGAAACUUCAGCACUCAGCUCCCCUUGGUUAUCACAAUCCACUCAUACUACACAGGGAAAGGUCUUGCUAUGCCUACUAAGACACAGUUCAUGGUGGAUUUAAAUAAAAGGCCAUUAAACCUAUUUAUUUUCAAUACUCAAAAAAAUUCAGAAACAUCUACAAGGUCCUCAGGAAAAGAAAUAAAAGACGAGGUAUGCCUGAUCUACUCACACUAAGGUUAAUGAUCUCUCUGCCUCACUCAGUUUGACUUACCAUUCUUCCUGGCAAGACAACAUUUAGGAUUUUCAAUGUUUGUGCAUAUUUAUGCCAGAGCCUACACCUUUCAGAUAGAAAAAAUAAAGGAGUCUAUUUUUGGGAGCUAUUUUCAUGAUUUCUUUGGCGACUCACAGGCACAAGUUCUUGCUUUUUAAAUUACAGAUAGGCACAAAAUCUAAGUGGUGCUAACAUGUAGAUCUAUUUAAAAAAACAUAAGACUCUACUGUGUAGUAAGAGACCACUGUAGAGUGAAUGUGUUUGGGAAGACCUUUUUAUUAAACAUAAUGUAAUAAAGUGACAAAGUAAAGGCUGUCUGUUGAGGCGUAUGUGCACUCAAAAUUAAUAUAAACAAGACAAAUCAGCAUAUUACUAAUGUACUUUUUUUUCUAAGAAAAUUACACAUCACAUUACAAUGGGGGUAGGAAUGUCUUUAGAACUAGCAAUGCUCCCCGCAUGUUGUGGAAG